This 330-nucleotide ribosomal RNA is filed under the name uncultured eukaryote. RNAcentral's name for it is "partial 18S ribosomal RNA". It matches the Rfam family "Eukaryotic small subunit ribosomal RNA", at positions 1470 to 1796 of the family's 1831-position model. The record is from RNAcentral.
CCCUUAGAUGUUCUGGGCCGCACGCGUGCUACACUGAUGCAUUCAACGAGCCUAUCCUUGACCGACAGGUCCGGGUAAUCUUUGAAUCUGCAUCGUGACGGGGAUAGAUUAUUGCAAUUAUUAAUCUUCAACGAGGAAUGCCUAGUAGGCGCAAGUCAUCAGCUUGCGUCGAUUACGUCCCUGCCCUUUGUACACACCGCCCGUCGCUCCUACCGAUUGAACGGUUUAGUGAGGGCCUCGGAUUGGUCUCGGCCCGCUCUUUACCGGGCGGCGCCGUUGGUCGAGAAGACGCUCGAACUUGAUCGUUUAGAGGAAGUAAAAGUCGUAACA